GGUCUGGCUGUUGUGGUGUGCAAAAUCCUGUGCAUUCCUUUUUGCCACACUGCAACACUUUACAGA
This 66-nucleotide microRNA precursor is filed under the name Atractosteus spatula (alligator gar). Its description in RNAcentral is "mir-3064 microRNA precursor family". It matches the Rfam family "mir-3064 microRNA precursor family". The record is from Rfam by way of RNAcentral. Lineage: Eukaryota; Metazoa; Chordata; Actinopteri; Semionotiformes; Lepisosteidae. RNAcentral also lists the same sequence under 1 other name.